RNAcentral lists this long non-coding RNA (886 nucleotides) under Zosterops lateralis melanops. RNAcentral describes it as "lncRNA (ENSZLMG00000011381.1)". The record is from RNAcentral. Lineage: Eukaryota; Metazoa; Chordata; Aves; Passeriformes; Zosteropidae.
CCGUGUCCUCGCAGAGCACUACGACGCCGUGACGGUGGUGGGGGCCCUGGGCGAGGGGCAGGUGCCGAUCUCGGUGCUGCCGGAGCUGCUGCGGGUCACUAAGCCGGGCGGCUUCCUGUGCCUGACGACCAGGAGCAACCCCUCGAACCUUCGGUACAAGGCGGAGCUGGAGGCGGCGCUGGGGCAGCUGGAGCGGAGCGGGGCCUGGCAGAAGCUGCUGGCCCAGGAGGUGGAGUACUGGGAGAGAGCCACCAGUGAGGAGGAGAGCACCCAGGGCACCGGCUACAUCUCUGGAGUGGUCUACAUCUACCAGAAGUGCCCUGUCCCCCACCUCGAGGAGGGCUGAGACCUAGCAUGGCUCUGGGAGGGCAUGGGAGAGUCUUCUGGAUUCAUCGGGGUCUCCUGGGCACCACCUUUAACACUGACAUUCAGAUAUUGACCCCGACACCUCAACGCUCACCAUGACAUCUCACAGACCCACAUGGCUGUUCUGAGAGUCUUUACCUGGAGACUGUUGGAGACCUGUUCCUGCUCAUCCUGUUCCCAUGUUCCUGGAGGACAGGUUGCAUCCUUCCCCUCAGGAGCUGUUCCUCAGUGUGAGGCAAUGGCUGUGUCUGUCCCUGUCCCUCACCCAGGGCAUCCCACGUCUUCCAUACUCGCCCUCCCCGUGGCUCUUGUCACCCUUUUGCUUUGUCCCCCAUGUUUGGGGUCCCUGUGCCCAUCAGUAGCUGUCCUACUGGUACCUCCCCAUUUGUCUCCAGCACUGAUUCCCUGGGCAGCUGGGGGUUAUGGCUGGCCCCAGCUCUGCACUACUUGCCUGUUCAAUAAAACCCCGUCCCUGCUGUCUGCCUGUUGAGCAUUUUUCCCAGAGCAAUAGGAAUGUGCA